CCCUCUCUUAUACAGGCACCUCUGAGAGCGUGAGAGAAAGGAAGUGAGAAACCCUUUUUAGAAAAAAACAUGGGCAGCAUCCCUUGUGAACAAGAAUCUUGGGUUUCUACGAGAAACCUAGGAAAUGUUCAAGAAAAUGAUCAAACCCAUAGCCUAGAUUUUCUUGAUGAUGAUAAUUACAAUGAUGAUGAUCUUUUGUGUCAAGAGACUGAGCAAGUGUGGCAAAACAUGAACCAAAACAACACCUUUACCAAAAACUUCAACAAGGGUUCUCUUCGAAAGAUCCUGAGAAAGAAGAGUCAAGUGCUGUUAGAAGGGUAUGUGGAAGGAAGAAGUAACAGCGAAGAUGAGUUGAAGAGGACAAAGAGUUUGACAGAUGAUGAUCUUGAUGAGUUAAAAGGGUGCUUGGAUCUUGGGUUUGGUUUUAGUUAUGAUGAGAUCCCUGAGCUUUGCAAUACUUUGCCAGCUCUUGAACUUUGUUACUCAAUGAGUCAGAAGUUUCUUGACGAGCACCAGAAGCCUCCUGAGAGUUCUUCUCCUGCUGAGGCCGAGGCUGAGGCUGCAAGUUCUAGUCCCAUUGCUAAUUGGAAGAUCUCUAGUCCUGGUGACCAUCCUGAAGAUGUUAAAGCAAGACUCAAAUUUUGGGCACAGACUGUGGCAUGCACUGUUAGAUUAUGCAGCUGAAGGGCAUUUUGAAAUCGAAAGCUUCAAACAGCUGAAGGUUCAUCUUUUUGGGAAGAUCGGAUGCUCAUUUUCCUUGGCAGUGGGCAAUCAAUAGCCUAGACCUACAUCUAGUGCUUAUGCGGUUAUGCCUCACUGAUCCAUUCCAGUGCGCAACAAUUUGGAAGAAUUAAAGCUCCUGCAUUUUCUUUAGCUGGAAUGGACCGGCCAGAGCAUAUGCAAUGAUGGGCUGGCUUUAAAGUAGAUGAAGAGAAAUGUUUCAGUAGUGUGAGCCUCUCCCCUAGAGCCUUCACCAAAUACUUCCAGACCUCUGCGAUUGCUGAGAUUAGCUACCCCAUAUUGGCUGGUGGUGGAGGCGGCAAGUAAGAAAGGGGGAUAAAGAAGUGAAGAGGAACAAGCUGAAGCAUAUGCUGAACCCUAUUGCUAUAAAAAAUUAAGCUUUGACUUGCAAACCAAAGGUUGAGGUUUCGAUACAUGUUAUAGAAUGCUAUGAUUUUUAUCCGUAAGGUACUCGUCUUUCUGUGCACUUGCAGUUAAGCAAGUCAAUUUGUUUGAUAACUUACAAUGGUUGGUUUAGGGUGAUGAUGUUCCCUUGUUCUGAGAAGAAAACUAACUUAGCCACCACACAAAGCAGCUGCGACAGCACUUCUUUGCCUUGUACAGGCUGGUAGUUAAAACUAAUCUAUGAAGGUAAGCAGUGGUCUGUGUGGCCGCUGCAAAGUGCCUCUACAUAUCAUCAGCAGUGUUGACAACUGCAGGGUUAGACCUUUCUAUAGCUGGGAAUUUUAUCCAAAGGGAAUGGCUGGAAAUAUCUGUCUACGUUGUCAAUUUGGACUAGUGGCAGAUUAAAAGCUCUAGAAUGCAAGAGAUUCUCCACUUUAGGAAGUUUGUCGAGAGUCUUCUUGUAAUGUAUUAAAUUGGAUGCAGGUAUUCUUUCUUGACAAUUGGUUUCGUGUUAGGAAAUUA
This is an RNA transcript of Populus trichocarpa (black cottonwood), 1647 nucleotides long. RefSeq lists it as uncharacterized. The transcript has 4 exons. The record is from RefSeq and is a predicted model, not a curated record. Lineage: Eukaryota; Viridiplantae; Streptophyta; Magnoliopsida; Malpighiales; Salicaceae.